CAGUCGCCACGGUAAUACGAAGGUCCCGAGCGUUGUUCGGAAUCACUGGGCGUAAAGGGAGCGUAGGCGGCGUGGUAAGUCAGAUGUGAAAUCCCGGGGCUCAACCCCGGAGCUGCAUCCGAUACUGCCAUGCUAGAGGAUUGGAGAGGUAGCUGGAAUUCUUGGUGUAGCAGUGAAAUGCGUGGAGAUCAAGAGGAACACUCGUGGCGAAAGCGAGCUACUGGACAAUAUCUGACGCUGAGGCUCGAAGGCCAGGGUAGCGAAAGGGAUUAGAUACCCCAGUAGUCCCUGUCUCUUAUAC
RNAcentral lists this ribosomal RNA (301 nucleotides) under uncultured bacterium. RNAcentral's name for it is "partial 16S ribosomal RNA". It matches the Rfam family "Bacterial small subunit ribosomal RNA", at positions 509 to 807 of the family's 1533-position model. The record is from RNAcentral.